This 482-nucleotide ribosomal RNA is filed under the name uncultured Gelria sp. Its description in RNAcentral is "bacterial SSU rRNA". It matches the Rfam family "Bacterial small subunit ribosomal RNA", at positions 900 to 1382 of the family's 1533-position model. The record is from RNAcentral. Lineage: Bacteria; Bacillati; Bacillota; Clostridia; Thermoanaerobacterales; Thermoanaerobacteraceae.
CUCAAAGGAAUUGACGGGGCCCGCACAAGCGGUGGAGCAUGUGGUUUAAUUCGACGCAACGCGAAGAACCUUACCAGGGCUUGACAUCCCCUGACCGCGUAUGAAAGUACGUUUUCACCCUCGGGUGACAGGGAGACAGGUGGUGCAUGGUUGUCGUCAGCUCGUGUCGUGAGAUGUUGGGUUAAGUCCCGCAACGAGCGCAACCCUCGUCCUUAGUUGCCAUCAUUUGGUUGGGCACUCUAGUGAGACUGCCGGUGACAAACCGGAGGAAGGUGGGGAUGACGUCAAGUCCUCAUGGCCCUUAUGGGUAGGGCUUCACACGUCAUACAAUGGUCGGUACAGAGGGUUGCCAAGCCGCGAGGUGGAGCCAAUCCCUUAAAGCCGAUCGUAGUCCGGAUCGUAGUCUGCAACUCGACUACGUGAAGUCGGAAUCGCUAGUAAUCGCAGAUCAGCAUGCUGCGGUGAAUACGUUCCCGGGUCUU